GGCAAGAGGUCAGAAUUAUUUCAUUCAUAAAUACUGUAAAAAGGACAUAUCAGCUGCGAAAUAUAACUGAGAUGUCAUCGGUGGAAGUGUUCUGAUUAGUGUCGACGUUUUCAUCAUGCGAUUAAACUCUUCAGUGUCAAUAUGGUGCAUUUGAGCAUGUCUUUUGCGAAAAUAGACCACUGCUUUUGUCUUCUGAAAUGCAUAACGGGGUAUUGUUUGUCAGUAUUAGUAUAUUAUAUACCGUAAUGGAUUAAUGGGUUAGUAACAAAGCUCUGGUUUUAUUGGAACCAGUCACGAAGAUGGAAGCACUCUCUGGUGGGAUGUACGAAAGCCUGGGUCACCUAUAUCUUUAGUGAAGUAUCAUUCAGAAUCAGCUUUAUCCCUUGCUAUCGAUGGGUCUUGCAAUGGUGGAAUCUCAGGAGGCGCUGAUGAUAAAGUAGUCAUUUUCACGCUUGAUCAUCCAAAAUUCUUCAUACUGCUUUCAUGCUCCCUGGCGGUCUUCUGCAACAUGAGCCAGUACCUCUG
Panicum virgatum (switchgrass) is the source of this 525-nucleotide long non-coding RNA. RefSeq lists it as uncharacterized. The transcript is spliced from 3 exons. The record is from RefSeq and is a predicted model, not a curated record. Lineage: Eukaryota; Viridiplantae; Streptophyta; Magnoliopsida; Poales; Poaceae.